Non-coding RNA from Coturnix japonica (Japanese quail), 980 nucleotides. Lineage: Eukaryota; Metazoa; Chordata; Aves; Galliformes; Phasianidae. The record is from RefSeq and is a predicted model, not a curated record.
UCUCCUUUUGAAAAGCAGGAUGUCUUUUCUUCAGGCUCUAUGCAAGGAGAGUAACAUACCACCAGAAGUCUUAUCAUAUGUUCAAAGCUGACUACUACUACAGUAAUCUUGAAAUGAAAAUGAAAUAUUCUCGUGAAGUCUUCUGGAAAUCCUACUUUUUCUUCAAUGUAAUAAUUCUCUGAAUGGAUGGAUCCUCUGAGUUCCUUCACUGUGAAAAAGAUUUGAAGGUGUUGAGACACAACAGCUGUCGUGAAGAAUAUUUUGUAGUGAAAUAUCAAACAAUAGAGCAUUUUACUACACUUCACAUUUAACACGUGAGUUGAGCAGACAAUUACACAUUACCAGUACAUCAAGCAAUGUAACUAUGUGACAAGAAACCAGUUUCACAGCAGCUCUUUUUAUCCGGACUGGCAAAAGAUUUUAAUAGCACAAGGUAACAGCGGUUAAUCGACUGGAGUUUCAGAACUAGAGAAGAGAUAAACAUACAAGAAAAGCAUUAUCUUUCUGUCAAGCUACAGAGCUAGGAAGAUCCAGGAAGAAAGUAGAAUGGAAUUCGAAGAUGUUCUGAACUAUGAAGUCAGCAUUAUCAAGACACAGGGAGGACCACAGGCAGAAGACAGAAGUACCAGAGAUUCAUGGAAGAAAAAGCAGGCAAACAAGUGUGAGUUCAGGAGGAUUUGUGCAUUCAUCAUAAAUCAGCCAAGAGAUAUCAACAUCCAAAAGGAGGGGUAGAAGCUUGAGUUGCAACCAAGAAAACCAGCUGAGAAGAUUCACCCACACAGUAUGUCUGAUAGCAUUACUGAUGGUACUCACUUCCUAAGCAAUUUCCCAUUUAAAAAAAGCAACUGGUCUGCAUCUGCCUUUCUGAACCAGCAGAUAAGAAAACAAAAAUAGACAUUGCAUUAGUAGACUUCCCUUUUCUUUUUUCUUAUUGCUUGAAGUCAUAUGAUCAGUUUUAUAUUAUCCUGGAGCAACAUAAA